This 435-nucleotide ribosomal RNA is filed under the name uncultured bacterium. Its description in RNAcentral is "partial 16S ribosomal RNA". It matches the Rfam family "Bacterial small subunit ribosomal RNA", at positions 29 to 507 of the family's 1533-position model. The record is from RNAcentral.
AGCGAACGCUGGCGGCAGGCUUAACACAUGCAAGUCGAGCGGGCACUUUCGGGUGUCAGCGGCGGACGGGUGAGUAACGCGUGGGAACGUGCCCUCUGGUUCGGAAUAACUCAGGGAAACUUGAGCUAAUACCGGAUACGCCCUUUUGGGGAAAGGCUUGCUGCCGGAGGAUCGGUCCGCGUCUGAUUAGCUAGUUGGUGAGGUAACGGCUCACCAAGGCGACGAUCAGUAGCUGGUCUGAGAGGAUGAUCAGCCACACGGGGACUGAGACACGGACCAGACUCCUACGGGAGGCAGCAGGGGGGAAUAUUGGACAAUGGGCGCAAGCCUGAUCCAGCCAUGCCGCGUGAGUGAUGAAGGCCUUAGGGUUGUAAAGCUCUUUUAUCCGGGACGAUAAUGACGGUACCGGAGGAAUAAGCCCCGGCUAACUUCGUG